Molecule: non-coding RNA, 29 nt
Filed under: Rattus norvegicus (Norway rat)
Lineage: Eukaryota; Metazoa; Chordata; Mammalia; Rodentia; Muridae
Source: RNAcentral
UCCAUCAUUGUGUACAGAAAGAUUUGGUC